This 415-nucleotide ribosomal RNA is filed under the name uncultured bacterium. RNAcentral describes it as "bacterial SSU rRNA". It matches the Rfam family "Bacterial small subunit ribosomal RNA", at positions 355 to 766 of the family's 1533-position model. The record is from RNAcentral.
UGAGGAAUAUUGGUCAAUGGGCGCAAGCCUGAACCAGCCAUCCCGCGUGCAGGAAGACGGCGCUAUGCGUUGUAAACUGCUUUUCCAGGGAGGGAAACUUGCGCACGUGUUGCGCAAUUGACGGUACCCUGGGAAUAAGCAUCGGCUAACUCCGUGCCAGCAGCCGCGGUAAUACGGAGGAUGCGAGCGUUAUCCGGAUUCAUUGGGUUUAAAGGGUGCGUAGGCGGACUAUUAAGUCAGUGGUGAAAUCCUGCAGCUUAACUGCAGAACUGCCAUUGAUACUGAUAGCCUUGAGUUUGGUUAAGGUAGGCGGAAUGUGUAAUGUGGCGGUGAAAUGCUUAGAUAUUACACAGAACACCGAUUGCGUAGGCAGCUUACUGAGCCGACACUUACGCUGAGGCACGAAAGCGUGGGG